Molecule: ribosomal RNA, 497 nt
Filed under: uncultured bacterium
Lineage: Bacteria
Description: partial 16S ribosomal RNA
Rfam family: Bacterial small subunit ribosomal RNA
Source: RNAcentral
GAUGAACGCUGGCGGCGUGCCUAAUUCAUGCAAGUCGAGCGAACAGACGAGGAGCUUGCUCCUCUGACGUUAGCGGCGGACGGGUGAGUAACACGUGGAUAACCUACCUAUAAGACUGGGAUAACUUCGGGAAACCGGAGCUAAUACCGGAUAACAUGUUGAACCGCAUGGUUCAACAGUGAAAGACGGUUUUGCUGUCACUUAUAGAUGGAUCCGCGUCGCAUUAGCUAGUUGGUAAGGUAACGGCUUACCAAGGCAACGAUGCGUGGCCGACCUGAGAGGGUGAUCGGCCACACUGGAACUGAGACACGGUCCAGACUCCUACGGGAGGCAGCAGUAGGGAAUCUUCCGCAAUGGGCGAAAGCCUGACGGAGCAACGCUGCGUGAGUGAAGAAGGUCUUCGGAUCGUAAAACUCUGUUAUUAGGGAAGAACAAAUGUGUAAGUAACUAUGCACGUCUUGACGGUACCUAAUCAGAAAGCCACGGCUAACUACGUG